This 93-nucleotide transfer RNA is filed under the name Collinsella tanakaei. RNAcentral's name for it is "tRNA-Ser". It matches the Rfam family "tRNA". From Rfam's summary of the family: Transfer RNA (tRNA) molecules are approximately 80 nucleotides in length. The record is from RNAcentral. RNAcentral also lists the same sequence under 4 other names. Lineage: Bacteria; Bacillati; Actinomycetota; Coriobacteriia; Coriobacteriales; Coriobacteriaceae.
GGAGGAGUGGCAGAGUGGUUGAAUGCGGCGGUCUCGAAAACCGUUUACCCGGUGUUCCCGGGUACGAGGGUUCGAAUCCCUCCUCCUCCGCCA